CGAGAAAGCCCGCAAGGGUGAGUAAAGCGGCGCACGAGUGCGUAACACGUGGGUAAUCUGCCCUAGAGUCCGGAAUAACUCGCCGAAAGGCGUGCUAAUGCCGGAUGAGACCACGGGAGCCUCGGCUCCUGAGGGAAAAGGUGGCCUCUGUAAACAAGCUAUCGCUCUAGGAUGAGCCCGCGGCCCAUCAGCUCGUUGGCGGGGUAAUGGCCCACCAAGGCUACGACGGGUAGCUGGUCUGAGAGGACGAUCAGCCACACUGGAACUGAGACACGGUCCAGACUCCUACGGGAGGCAGCAGUGGGGAAUCUUGCGCAAUGGGCGAAAGCCUGACGCAGCGACGCCGCGUGUGUGAUGAAGGUCUUCGGAUCGUAAAGCACUGUCGCGAGGGACG
RNAcentral lists this ribosomal RNA (394 nucleotides) under uncultured Anaeromyxobacter sp. Its description in RNAcentral is "bacterial SSU rRNA". It matches the Rfam family "Bacterial small subunit ribosomal RNA", at positions 67 to 447 of the family's 1533-position model. Lineage: Bacteria; Pseudomonadati; Myxococcota; Myxococcia; Myxococcales; Anaeromyxobacteraceae. The record is from RNAcentral.